Molecule: ribosomal RNA, 145 nt
Filed under: Anopheles gambiae (African malaria mosquito)
Lineage: Eukaryota; Metazoa; Arthropoda; Insecta; Diptera; Culicidae
Description: eukaryotic large subunit ribosomal RNA
Rfam family: Eukaryotic large subunit ribosomal RNA
Source: RNAcentral
UCUAGUCUGGCAUUGUAAGGCGAUAUAGGAGGUGCAGCAUAGGUGGGAGGGCUUCCUCGUGGAGCUCGCCUCUGAGAUACCACCACUCUUACUGUUGCCUUACUUACAUGAUUGGGUGGAACAAAGCGCGGGCCCCAGGUCCGGA